Molecule: long non-coding RNA, 1260 nt
Organism: Leopardus geoffroyi (Geoffroy's cat)
Lineage: Eukaryota; Metazoa; Chordata; Mammalia; Carnivora; Felidae
Exons: 2
Source: RefSeq, a predicted model, not a curated record
AUCUCCUAGGGAACAAAGAGAAUUCAGUGAUAAGAACAUACAAAGAGUAGAUUUCAAGAUUUUGGAACUAGAAUGCCUAAUGCUUGAAGAUUUAGUAACUAGGAAAAGGUUCAGUCUCGUCCUUAUAGUCAUGUCCUUUGGGUUAAUGUCAGAAGGAGAGAAGGCUUAGCUACACAAGGCAGAAAUCUUGUCUCAGCUUUUAAACAACAACAACAAAAAACUGUUCUUCCCCUAACCUUGCAUAGGCAAUGAAUGUGUCCUUGUCACAAAUAACAUUUCAUUUCAUUUUAUUUCAUUGUACUUUAAUUAAAUUUGCAUUUAAAUUGGUAACCCACUUUAAAAGGUGCUGGGGAUACAAAGAAGAAAAUAGAAAUUCUUCUGCUUAACAAGCUAGAGCCUACUAGGAAGAAAGACAGUAUCAACAGUGAUAACCACUGGUAACAAGCCGUCUGUGGGCUGCCACCAGCCUACAGGCCACACCUAAAAAGCAGACUGACAGAAUAUACAUAAAAUGAGAACGAAGUGAAGCCACAGAAGCAGCUCAACUCUGGGCCAGGGAAGAACCUGCUAACUUUCAGAACUCCAACACCUCAGGCCUGAGGCUGAAGGGGCUCUACCCACUCGCGCCUCAGGAAACUGAAGACAAUCAGGCCGCCUGCAGGAAUGAUAGGACUACCCUACUUGUCACCAGUGGAAGGUAAUGAUGAGGGAAGGCAGCAGUUUCCUCCCAAGCUCUCAGGUCUCCACUGUAUCUGAGGAGAGAGAGAUAAGAUUGGGCUCAAGAAGGCUGCAAGUUCCUGCGUGAAGGUGGGAAAGAAAAGCGGCAAGUGGAGGUUGCUGCCUCAGGGUGCCAUACAUACACCCGUGAGGACAGGGGCCAGGGGAACGUCAAGCAUUAGGAUUAGCCACUCCUUUCAACCAGACUUUCUUCUCAACCUCAGAGAACAAGGUUUCUUUAUGUAUGAGGCUAACCUCUCCCGUGGCAUUCUAGAUUCAAUCUUCUUCCUUUUGAAAUUCAAGUCCAUCAAUUAUCUUUUUUCCCCUUUCAUUUUUUAACCAUCUUCCUUCCACUCAGUCAUCUGGAUGGUCUAAGACUCCCGCCCUGCCUCAAUAAUUUCAAACCACUUCAGAUCUUGUGAACUCUUCUCUCCUAAAUCUCCCUUCAAAGUGUUACCUCUCCUUUAUUUCACUGCCACCGUCGUAGGUAAGGCCCCCAUUUCUUAUUCCAGACCACAAUAAAUCCUUACCAAGUCUUUAAAA